UACGUAGGGGGCAAGCGUUGUCCGGAUUUAUUGGGCGUAAAGAGCGUGUAGGCGGCCAUGUAGGUCCGGUGUGAAAACUCGAGGCUUAACCUCGAGAUGUCAUCGGAAACCAUUUGGCUAGAGUCCGGAAGAGGAGAGUGGAAUUCCUGGUGUAGCGGUGAAAUGCGCAGAUAUCAGGAAGAACACCAAUGGCGAAAGCAGCUCUCUGGGACGGUACUGACGCUGAGACGCGAAAGCGUGGGGAGCAAACAGG
RNAcentral lists this ribosomal RNA (253 nucleotides) under uncultured bacterium. RNAcentral describes it as "partial 16S ribosomal RNA". It matches the Rfam family "Bacterial small subunit ribosomal RNA", at positions 524 to 776 of the family's 1533-position model. The record is from RNAcentral.